Molecule: transfer RNA, 73 nt
Organism: Camelus ferus (Wild Bactrian camel)
Lineage: Eukaryota; Metazoa; Chordata; Mammalia; Artiodactyla; Camelidae
Rfam family: tRNA
About the family: Transfer RNA (tRNA) molecules are approximately 80 nucleotides in length. Their secondary structure includes four short double-helical elements and three loops (D, anti-codon, and T loops).
Source: Rfam
GAGGGUAUGGCUCAAGUGGUAGGGUGCAUGCUUAGCAUGCACAAGGUCCUGGGUUCAAUUCCCAGAACCUCCU